GAUUAUUACCACACCAUUCCUCGGAGUGACGGCAGGAAAACUGAGCGGACGGCCCUGGCUCAAAGGUGCUCCUAAAUACAAGGUGUAGAAUACACCAGACGCCUCGCCUGCCACUGACCCACCAAGAUCAUAGGGAAUGAAACCAGCACAUCACAGACACGGCCUUCUGGGAUUCUCACCGACGACUUCACGUCUGGUAAAAGUGCCUUCCCACACGACGCAGAGAGUCUCCACUUAACUUGCAUCGAAGCACUCCCACGGCUCUCCAUCGCGCUUGUCGAUGCACCACAUGUAUGCAGUACACUCAGAGGCCAACAGAGGGCAUCAGAUUCCCUGGAACUGGAGUUUAGGGUUUCUCACCACCUUGUGGCUGCUGGGAAGGGACCUUCCUUUCCCACUUCCUCCUUCCUCACUACAUCUCCUAAUCUCUGAGCUCAGGGAGGGCUCCUCCCUGCAAUUUCUUUUUCCUUGCGCCUUGUAAGAAACAUGAAGUCAGUAUUUCCACCUCCUUUCAAAAUCUCAUUCAAGCUAGGCAAGUAUUUUUUCUACAGAUCCAAGAUUUUAAAUCGCCACCAUGUGACUGCAUGUGACAGACCUGGGAACAGCCAGUGCUCUAAAAUGUCUCUUCAGCUCUGAGAAACACAUGAACAGAGAAACGGCUAAUCUGAUGUUGACUUCUCAAAAGCAAAGGUGCAGUCAGGAGGAAAAAGGAUUAAGUCUUGAAAUUACUCAAUCAAAAUGCAGCCUGCUUCUAACUGUAUACUACUGAAGAAAAAUACUGUUCCAUGACACUUGCCAAGACUGAUAAAGCACUUUGUCCAAGGACAAGGAAGAGUUAUUGCAGUAGGCAUAGGUACCCCACAAUGGGAUUUUGGAGCAGAGGAGAGAAUAGGGGGUCAAAAGUGAACAUACCAAUGCUGUAUCAGAAUAAACAGUCAGAAAGCAAGGAGAAGUUCGGUGAGUGGGAGAAAAAAGUGAGAACGUGCACGACGGAGAGCCCCAAAGACCGAAGAGAGAGUCUGGCUUUGGUGACCGUUUGUGUGAGGGGUGAACCGGUUGGGGAGUCCCGGCUCCUCGCAGUGGGGAAAGCAUCGCAGCGGUGGAGGGAGAGGUCGAUGCUCCGGUCUGCGCUUCCGGCAUCCUCCUUUCCUUCCCUGUGGGUCGGUCUCCAUUUCUGAUCCUUCCUGGAAGUGUCCUCAUGGUUGUUCUUACCCAGAAGUGUGUCUCCCGGAGUGUCCCCAGGCGGGCAGGCUAACGACAAAGGCUGACCAUCAUAGGAGAUUCCAGCUGGACCACCCAGAGAGGAAGUUUUGCUAAACACAGUCCAGGGUGACCAGAUAGGGUAGGACAGUCAGUCCCAGUGGGAUUCUCAUACAGAUAAUAGCCUGAUUAGGUAUCGAGGUUGGGAGAUUUUGCGUAAUCUGGCUGAAAAGAUACAUGCUGAAAUUGGGCAGAAUACAGGUAGAUAGGAGAGUUCUAAGGUGAAGUGUAUUUGAAAAGAGCGCAGAGGAGCCUGGGCAGAAUUUUGGUAGAAAGAAUUUUGUUCGUACUCAGAAAAGUUAUGUACAAAAUAAACAUAUACUAAAGGUGUUAUACAACAGAAACUAAGAACAGUAAAUACCAAUGGCUCCUCACUGAAGGAAAGGGCUUUGGGAAGAAGGAAAAUAAAACCACGAUGCGUGGACAGGGUAGGGUAGGGGGAGAGGAAGACAGAAAAAAGUUAACAGGGCAGUGGUAGCAUCUCGGGUUCACGGGGCAGUGGCAGCAUUGGGGGUUCACCAGGCAGUGGCAGUGUUGGGGGUUCACCAGGCAACAGCAGUACUGCAGGUUGACAUUUAUGAGGCUAAAACUCCAAUUCCUGGGGCUAAAAGUCAAAUAAGAUAGAAAUCAAGUAAUAUUGUAUGAUGGGGUGUUAUUAAGGUUUAAGCCUUUCAAGGUCUUCUUCCAAAGGUGAAUGGGGACAUAAAUUAUUAUGUACAUUAAGCUAAAUACAUUAAAAUGUCUCACCUUUACACCAUUCAAGUAAUACAUAACUUCUGAUUAAUUCAAAUAGAAGUAAAAAAUUUCCAAUUCAACAAACAUAAGAAAUAAGGGCUGGCAAGACACCUCAGGCAGAAGCCCACACAUCUGGACCUCACUAGCUGGGUCCCUGGAGAGUACCAACUCCUAAGAGUUGUCCUCUGACUGCUAUAUGUAUUAUAUACCUGUGCACACACAGUAAGAAGCAAGCAUGUACACAUAUACACACACAUACACACACAGGCACAUACAUACAUACAAGUAACAUGUACACACAUACACACACAGGCACACACACAUACACACACAUCACACAGGCACAUACAUACAUACAAGUAACAUGCACUCAUGUACACAGAUACACACACAGGUACACACAUACACACAUAUAUCACACAGGCACAUACAUACAUACAAGUAAUACAUACACAUGUGCAUACAGAUACACAUGCAGUUGUACACGUAUACACACAUACAAACACAUAGGCACACACAUACAUACAAGUAACACAUACACACGUGCACACAGAUACACACACAAGAACACGCAUAUAUACACAUAUAUAUACACAGGCACACACAUACAUACAAGCAACACAUAUACACAUGUAUGCACAUACAUAUACACAUCAAUACACAUACACACAUACACAAAAUUAGGUCUCCUUUUCAUAAUAUGUAUAACAUUGUAUAUGUUCAUAUGUAUGAACAUACAUACACACAUACACAUGUAUAUAUAUACAUACACACAAAUAGAAUAAUAAGGAAAAAUGAGCUUCUGUUAUCAACGAAGCAACAGAACCAACGAGAGGCUCUGCCUGAAAAACAGAGUAGGAGAAGAGGACUGACUUCCAGAAAGUUGUCCUCUGUCCUCUGUUCACAGAAAGUGACAUGAGCACACACACACUAAUACACACACAGACACACAUGCAAGCCCCCACAUACCACACAAAUAAAUGAACAACACACAUCUCUAAAGAAAAAGCAUGGAUAAGUAUAUGAACCUAUGCAUAGUGUUAUACAUAUUGUUUAGAAAGCGGAGAUCCGAUUUUGUAGUAUUUUCUUCACAUUGAUGAACAGAUGCAGAAGAGAAAAUUAAGUGUUGAUAAGCAUCCCAGCAUGCAUGUAUAUGUGCAUAACUUGAUACAUUCAUUUUAGAGAAAGAAUAGCAAAGAACAUUUGGAGGGGAAAAAGCAAAGUAAGAUGUUCACACAUACACACAACCUUUUAAGUAUAUUUAUAAAAUUUGUGUACUUUGAGUGACCAAAGGAGAGAAAAAAAGAUGGAUACAAAAACAGGCCAUACAAAUGUCAGAACCAGAUGUGAGAGAGAUAGUGGGGCAAGUCCAUGGUGAAGCACUUGAUAAAAAAAUAACAAACAAACUUUAGAAUUCUCCUUUCCUUAUUAAGAAGUAAAAUACAUCAUAAGCCACAAGACAGGAAACAACCAAUUUGGUUUAUUUAAGACUAAAGAUGUGUAACAAUUGGAAAAUUUAAAGUAUAGAGAAAGGAGACAGACGGGAGGAUCCUGGGAGCUCACAGGCAAGCUAGUCUGGGGAAUCCUGUGGCAAAGCUGCACCACCCCUACAAAGUGGAAAAUGAAGACCAUCAUGCAGCACCGAGAGAGAGAGAGAGAGAGAGAGAGAGAGAGAGAGAGAGAGAGAGAGAGAGAGAGAAAGAGAGAGAGAGAGAUUUUUUUAAGUACAGAUUUUCUCAAAUGGCCACCUAAAGAAAAUUCACAGACCACAAAGAAAUUUCCAACAUAACAGAUAAAAACCACAGUCAACCAGCGAUUGCACAAAACAGAUACUCCCACCUCGUUUAUAAUGACAAAUAUUGAAUUAGGGAUCAUAAUAUAAUCUUUGAAAUUGUCAUCAAAUUGGCUAGAAUUUUAAGAUCCUCUUAGCUGCACAACGCCAAGUAUUAGGACAGCGAGCACUCACUCAUUACGAUGGCUGGUGUGUGCUGGAUUUACCCAGGAAGGUAAUUCAGAAUCGUCUAGGAAGACGUAUUUCCAGCACACAGGCAGGUCACUUUCUUAGCUAUAUCCUGGGGAUUCUCUCUCAGGGCCACAAGAGAAAAUUGGCAGUCAUGUUUGAGCAUGGCUACUUAUUACUGAGGAGAGAAACAGGAACAAUGUUCAUCUCAAAGAAAGUGGAUGAAUUGUUACUGAAAUAAUUUAUCCAGCUGCCAGAUGAUUGACAGGUACACUCUGGGCCGCGGACAAAUCCAUACGUAGGAUACUGAUUAAAGAUGCUAUAGGAGAUCUGUACAGCAUGACCCCACUUACGUAAAGCCUCAACAACAUGUAAAUGUAAAUAAAUUGGUCAAAUGAGGAGCCUUUAAACUUUACUG
Molecule: long non-coding RNA, 4373 nt
Organism: Apodemus sylvaticus (European woodmouse)
Lineage: Eukaryota; Metazoa; Chordata; Mammalia; Rodentia; Muridae
Exons: 3
Source: RefSeq, a predicted model, not a curated record